AUUGAACGCUGGCGGCAGGCCUAACACAUGCAAGUCGAACGGUAACAGGAAGAAGCUUGCUUCUUUGCUGACGAGUGGCGGACGGGUGAGUAAUGUCUGGGAAACUUCCUGAUGGAGGGGGAUAACUACUGGAAACGGUAGCUAAUACCGCAUAACGUCGCAAGCCCAAAGAGGGGGACCUUCGGGCCUCUUGCCAUCGGAUGUGCCCAGAUGGGAUUAGCUAGUAGGUGGGGUAACGGCUCACCUAGGCGACGGUCCCUAGCUGGUCUGAGAGGAUGACCAGCCACACUGGAACUGAGACACGGUCCAGACUCCUACGGGAGGCAGCAGUGGGGAAUAUUGCACAAUGGGCGGAAGCCUGAUGCAGCCAUGGCGCGUGUAUGAAGAAGGACUUCGGGUUGUAAAGUACUUUCAGCGGGGAGGAAGGGAGUAAAGUUAAUACCGUUGCUCAUUGACGGUACCCGCAGAAGAAGCACCGGCUAACUCCGUG
This 490-nucleotide ribosomal RNA is filed under the name uncultured bacterium. RNAcentral's name for it is "partial 16S ribosomal RNA". It matches the Rfam family "Bacterial small subunit ribosomal RNA", at positions 30 to 507 of the family's 1533-position model. The record is from RNAcentral.